AACGAACGCUGGCGGCAGGCCUAACACAUGCAAGUCGAGCGCCCCGCAAGGGGAGCGGCGGACGGGUGAGUAACACGUGGGAAUUUUCCUCAAGGUAGGGAACAACUCAGGGAAACUUGGGCUAAUACCCUAUGAAGCAGAGAUGCCAAAGAUUUAUCGCCUUGGGAUAAGCCCGCGUCAGAUUAGGUAGUUGGUGGGGUAACGGCCUACCAAGCCUGAGAUCUGUAGCUGGUCUGAGAGGACGAUCAGCCACAUUGGGACUGAGACACGGCCCAAACUCCUACGGGAGGCAGCAGUGGGGAAUCUUGCGCAAUGGGCGAAAGCCUGACGCAGCCAUGCCGCGUGAAUGAUGAAGGUCUUAGGAUUGUAAAGUUCUUUAGCCUGUGACGUUGAUGACGGUAACAGGAGAAUAAGCCCUGGCUAACUUCGUGCCAGCCGCCGCAGUAA
Molecule: ribosomal RNA, 447 nt
Filed under: uncultured bacterium
Lineage: Bacteria
Description: partial 16S ribosomal RNA
Rfam family: Bacterial small subunit ribosomal RNA
Source: RNAcentral